Long non-coding RNA from Hemicordylus capensis (graceful crag lizard), 1715 nucleotides. RefSeq lists it as uncharacterized. The record is from RefSeq and is a predicted model, not a curated record. NCBI's taxonomy places the organism in Eukaryota, Metazoa, Chordata, Lepidosauria, Squamata, Cordylidae. The transcript has 4 exons.
GGGAACUCUCCCCUACUAGCGCCCGUUAUCACAACGGGCCUGAAAACACUAGUACUAAUAAUAAUAGAGUCUGAAAGCAGAGGAGGAAAAAUACCAUGGCUGUUAACAGACCUGUAGCUUUCUGUGAAAUUAUCUCACCAUACUGGACACAUAUUUUAAAUUGUCAUGAUAGAGGCAAAAUGGUAUUAGAAGCAACUAUUUGGGUCAUUUCUAAAGAUAUAAAACCUCAUGGGCUAAUCUAAUUAAUACAACACUCUCCUGUGUUCCAAUAACUGAAGGAAGAGCUGGAGGGCUCAGGAGGAAGUUGGGAGGCCAUUCUCGUGAGCAGCCCUACCUGGGUGCAGUGCUAGCCCAAGUAGGACUUGUCGUGGGAACCACCAGGGUUGCUCCCAAUCCCGACACUCCUCCACUGGGUACCCCAGGUUUGAAACCCAGGCGAAAAGUGAGGUUCCAGAGCAAUGAGAACAACCUUUCCCCUAGUGCUAGAAGAAUACACUAACUUGGAUCCUACAACAGUAUUGAAGAUUGCAUACAUGAACUGGGGAAAAGAAAAACUGGGGAAAAGAAAAACUGUGGACAAGCCAGCAGAAGAGUUUUUGCAGGUGUGGAUGGAGUCAACCUCAUACACAAACACCCUCCCCAAAACUUCUGCGGUGUUCUGGAGACUCUACAAUGCACUCUCAGUUCACAUGAGACUCCGGCUACAGCAAAGCAGCAUGAGCUCCUAGACUCUAGUCUUACUUCCAGCAUGACAGACACUCUCUGAAUUUCACCAUUUCAACAGCUGCUUUAUCACUGUCCACCUUCUCCAAAGAGGAAAAUAAAAUGUGUAUUUUGGACAUAGAGAGUGCAUGUUCUUCAGGGAAAAGAGGGUUCUUUACAUCAUGAGGCAUUGCUGCAGCUGCUCCUGCUUCUCAUCUCAUUCAAGCCAGAAAGCAGGGAAUAGAGCUGCAGGAAGUGUGGAGUGUCCACAAGCAGCUUACCAACUAUCAUUCUGCUCCGACUUUUAAAAAAGCAAGGGAUGCCCAGGACGCUUGGUGGCUUGGUGUGACGAAAUCUGUGGCAGCUCAGAAUGAGCCACUAAUGAAAAUUGCUAAAAACUUCUCCUGAUGAAGCCCUGCUAAGAGCAAGAGGAAACAGGCUACAAACUACCUAGAUACCUGCUUACCUAGGAUACCUGUUGAGAGUAACAGCAAAUAACACCAAGCACUGAUCUUUUGGAGCAGUAGCAAGCCUGAGCAAAUGUAAGCAUUGACCCUGUGACACACUACAGGAAGCUCUUGAUUUAUUGUACAUCUGAAAAGGACCUUUUGAUCACCUUUUGACCCUUCAGCUACAACCUUGGGAUUCUUUCAUUGCCAUUGUAUGCUUCUUUAUUAUUAAUACAUUUAUACAAUUGUCCAUUUUGUGAAUUGUCACAGAUGCGUUAGGAAUUUGUUUGUAUGGCAUCUUUUGGAUACAAUGGUUUUUUUGGUAAUACGAUAUUGAUUCAUGGUGUGUAAUUUUUUCACAGAUUACUAUACACGGUUUAUACACAUAAUUUUAUGUAUAUGGUUUUUUUCUCACAUACUAUCUAUGACAAAUAUUGAACAAAAAUGCAUUGACAUCUCAACAACAUCCCAAAGAAAAAACGUUAAACAGGCAAUAUUUAAACUAAUGAAAUGUACUGCCCCCUAGUGUAUCAACAUAAUACUUUAGAAAUAAAAACUGGUGCA